GACGAACGCUGGCGGCGUGCUUAACACAUGCAAGUCGAACGGAAAGGCCCUGCUUUUGUGGGGUGCUCGAGUGGCGAACGGGUGAGUAACACGUGAGUAACCUGCCCUUGACUUUGGGAUAACUUCAGGAAACUGGGGCUAAUCCCGUACAGGAGCUCCUCUUCCAUGGUGGGGGUUGGAAAUUUUCGGCGGUUGGGGAUGGAUUCGCGGCUUUUCAGCUUGUUGGUGGGGUAGUGGCUUACCAAGGCUUUGAAGGGUAGCUGGCAUGAGAGGGUGACCGGCCACAUUGGGACUGAGAGACGGACCAGACUCCUACGGGAGGCAGAAGGGGGGAAUAUGGCACAAUGGGAGGAAGCCGGAUGAAGCAACGCCGCGUGCGGGAUGACGGCCUGCGGGUUGUAAACCGCUUUCGCCUGUGACGAAGCGUGAGUGACGGUAAUGGGUAAAGAAGCACCGGCUAACUACGUG
This 468-nucleotide ribosomal RNA is filed under the name uncultured bacterium. Its description in RNAcentral is "partial 16S ribosomal RNA". It matches the Rfam family "Bacterial small subunit ribosomal RNA", at positions 28 to 507 of the family's 1533-position model. The record is from RNAcentral.